Xenopus laevis (African clawed frog) is the source of this 851-nucleotide long non-coding RNA. RefSeq lists it as uncharacterized. NCBI's taxonomy places the organism in Eukaryota, Metazoa, Chordata, Amphibia, Anura, Pipidae. The transcript is spliced from 5 exons. The record is from RefSeq and is a predicted model, not a curated record.
GUAAUGCUCUUUCGGGUGGGGGGCGCUAAUUGAAGCUCUUGCCUAGGGUGGCAAACUACCUUGGCCCGGCCCUGGUAUGAGUCCCUCAUUUAAUUACUAUGGGGUUGGAAUGAUUAGCAUCAACAUUUUGACGGUGCACAUAAUAAAAAUGCUAAUUAUUCAAACACCAAACUGUAAGAGUUUAUUAUUACUGGUGUUAUUAUUUCUUUCAGCCCAUCGUUCCAAUUUUUUUUUGCCGUGUGGUUGUUAGGGUAAUUAAGCCAUAGUAUCCAGACCACAGCUGCAAUUGCAAGUCUGUGAAUACAUACCCCUAGCAUAUCAUUCCUGCAAGCCCCCUGCAGGACUGUCGAACACGGCGGCAUUUGUGCCCUAACAAAACCAUGGAUUUGUGGGCAAUCCGGCCUAAACACUAGAAGUACAGAAGCAGAAUGCAGUUUCCAGAGAUAAUGGUGGAUCCCCUCAUGUGUUUUACAUACAAAAUUCUACAGGAGUGUUCGUGUGGGAGGUGUUCAGCAAGGGCAAGAUACCAUUUGAACAUUUUUUCAACUCCGAGGCUGUGGAAAAAAUCUCAGCUGGACUGAGGCUCUUCAGACCCAAGAUGUCUUCUGAAAGAGUGUACAUGCUGAUGAACAACUGCUGGAAUAUGCCAGUAAGAAGCAGAAGAAAAGAGAUAAAGCAGAAUGGAUGGAAUUAAGAUCAUAAUACAGAAGAAGACAAGACAUUUCCCGGGACACUCUCAUGUACUUGGUGGUACACCCUUAAAGGCAUUGCUUUAAAGUACAAGACUGCCGUUUGGAGUUGGAGCAUUUUCCUGGUUCGCUACAACUGCGCAUGCGCCGAAAGUGAUGAAA